GUGUCAGCCGCCGCGGUAAGACAGAGGUGGCAAGCGUUGUUCGGAUUUACUGGGCGUAAAGAGUGCGUAGGUGGUGAGGUAAGACCUGUGGGAAAGACCUGGGCUUAACCCAGGAAGGUCGCAGGUGACUGCCUCGCUUGAGGACGGGAGAGGAGAGCGGAAUUCCCGGUGUAGCGGUGAAAUGCGUAGAGAUCGGGAAGAAGGCCGGUGGCGAAGGCGGCUCUCUGGAACGUUCCUGACACUGAGGCACGAAAGCGUGGGGAGCAAACAGGAUUAGAAACCCCCGUAGUCC
Molecule: ribosomal RNA, 292 nt
Filed under: uncultured bacterium
Lineage: Bacteria
Description: partial 16S ribosomal RNA
Rfam family: Bacterial small subunit ribosomal RNA
Source: RNAcentral